UACGAAGGGGGCUAGCGUUGUUCGGAAUUACUGGGCGUAAAGCGCACGUAGGCGGGUCGUUAAGUCAGGGGUGAAAUCCCAGAGCUCAACUCUGGAACUGCCUUUGAUACUGGCGACCUAGAGUCCGGAAGAGGUUAGUGGAAUUCCCAGUGUAGAGGUGAAAUUCGUAGAUAUUGGGAAAAACACCAGUGGCGAAGGCGGCUAACUGGUCCGGUACUGACGCUGAGGUGCGAAAGCGUGGGGAGCAAACAGG
Molecule: ribosomal RNA, 253 nt
Filed under: uncultured bacterium
Lineage: Bacteria
Description: partial 16S ribosomal RNA
Rfam family: Bacterial small subunit ribosomal RNA
Source: RNAcentral